GACGAACCGUGCGAACGUUGUUCGGAAUCACUGGGCUUAAAGGGCGCGUAGGCGGGCGGCCGCGUCCGGGGUGAAAUCCCGCCGCUCAACGGCGGAACGGCCUCGGAUACGGGCGGCCUCGAGGGGGGUAGGGGCGUGCGGAACUCUGGGUGGAGCGGUGAAAUGCGUUGAUAUCCAGAGGAACUCCGGUGGCGAAGGCGGCACGCUGGACCCCCUCUGACGCUGAGGCGCGAAAGCCAGGGGAGCGAACGGG
RNAcentral lists this ribosomal RNA (253 nucleotides) under uncultured bacterium. RNAcentral's name for it is "partial 16S ribosomal RNA". It matches the Rfam family "Bacterial small subunit ribosomal RNA", at positions 524 to 776 of the family's 1533-position model. The record is from RNAcentral.